Oncorhynchus mykiss (rainbow trout) is the source of this 882-nucleotide long non-coding RNA. RefSeq lists it as uncharacterized. The record is from RefSeq and is a predicted model, not a curated record. NCBI's taxonomy places the organism in Eukaryota, Metazoa, Chordata, Actinopteri, Salmoniformes, Salmonidae.
CAAAGUAUUGAGAUACACUUUUGUUAUUGACCAAAUACUUAUUUUCCACCAUAAUUUGCAAAUAAAUUCAUUAAAAAUCCUACAAUGUGAUUUUCUGGAUUUUUUUUCUCAUUUUGUCUGUCAGAGUUGAAGAGUACCUAUCAGGAAAAUUGCAGGCCUCUCUCAUCUUUUUAAGUGGGAGAACUUGCACAAUUGGUGGCUGACUAAAUACUUUUUUGCCCCACUGUAUGCAAAUAUAAAUUAAUAAGACAUCUUCAAUAAGAAAUAAAGUAUUUAGUAAUUUAUUGAAUCUCUAAUUUGUACUUUCUUCCCUUAAAAAAAAAAAUCACAAACGAUAUCAGAAACUCUCCAACGGAAUGAUCUAACAGAGAAAAGGGAUGGUGACCAUGCACCUUGCUUGGCCAGCCCCUAUGACAACAACAACCACGACGACUACACCAAUGACCACAACCAUAGAGCUAACCAACUACAACUGCCAAGUCGUACAAAGUGGGAAAGGUGGAACCUAGUGCUCCUGUGAUUUGAUUGUUUGGGCCCCAUUUGGCUGCUGGCUGUGGCCUCCUCUUCAACAUCACCGUAUCCCAUUGCAACCCUGAGUCCUGCAUUCACUCACCAAUAUAGCCCCAUGUACCCAUUCACUCACCAAUAUAGCCCCAUGUACCCAUGAAACACACACCCACCAAACAAAACAAGAGUAUUGAACCAACUGAUGUAAAUAUGCUGCCUUCAUUUUUCUGUUAGAAUGUACACUCUAUGACCAAAAGAAUGUGGACAGCUGCUCGUUGAACAUCUCAUUCCAAAAUCAUGGGGAUUCAUAUGGAGUCGGUCCCCCCCUUUGCUGCUACUCUUCUGGGAAAGCUUUCCGCUAGAUGUUGGAACAUU